CCGCUCGGAAUGCGAUUCGUAGCUGGCGAGUGAAGCGGCAAAAGCUCAAAUUUGAAAUCUGGCGCCUUCGGUGUCCGAGUUGUAAUUUGAAGAUUGUAACCUUGGGGUUGGCUCUUGUCUAUGUUUCUUGGAACAGGACGUCACAGAGGGUGAGAAUCCCGUGCGAUGAGAUGCCCAAUUCUAUGUAAGGUGCUUUCGAAGAGUCGAGUUGUUUGGGAAUGCAGCUCUAAGUGGGUGGUAAAUUCCAUCUAAAGCUAAAUAUUGGCGAGAGACCGAUAGCGAACAAGUACAGUGAUGGAAAGAUGAAAAGAACUUUGAAAAGAGAGUGAAAAAGUACGUGAAAUUGUUGAAAGGGAAGGGUUUGAGAUCAGACUCGAUAUUUUGUGAGCCUUGCCUUCGUGGCGGGGUGACCCGCAGCUUAUCGGGCCAGCAUCGGUUUGGGCGGUAGGAUAAUGGCGUAGGAAUGUGACUUUACUUCGGUGAAGUGUUAUAGCCUGCGUUGAUGCUGCCUGCCUAGACCGAGGACUGCGAUUUUAUCAAGGAUGCUGGCAUAAUGAUCCCAAACCGCCCGUCUUGAAACACGGACCCAUU
RNAcentral lists this ribosomal RNA (591 nucleotides) under Meyerozyma guilliermondii. RNAcentral's name for it is "LSU rRNA". It matches the Rfam family "Eukaryotic large subunit ribosomal RNA", at positions 64 to 664 of the family's 3401-position model. Lineage: Eukaryota; Fungi; Ascomycota; Pichiomycetes; Serinales; Debaryomycetaceae. The record is from RNAcentral.